This 425-nucleotide ribosomal RNA is filed under the name uncultured Gammaproteobacteria bacterium. RNAcentral's name for it is "bacterial SSU rRNA". It matches the Rfam family "Bacterial small subunit ribosomal RNA", at positions 9 to 429 of the family's 1533-position model. Lineage: Bacteria; Pseudomonadati; Pseudomonadota; Gammaproteobacteria. The record is from RNAcentral.
GAGUUUGAUCCUGGCUCAGAUUGAACGCUGGCGGCAUGCCUAACACAUGCAAGUCGAACGGCAGCAUGAAUAGGGGUAACCUUAUUUGAUGGCGAGUGGCGGACGGGUGAGUAAUACGUAGGAAUCUACCCAGAGGUAGGGGAUAACUUGGGGAAACUCAAGCUAAUACCAUAUGAGCCUUACGAGGGAAAGCAGGGGAUCGAAAGACCUUGCGCCUUUGGAUGGGCCUACGUCGGAUUAGCUAGUUGGUAGGGUAAAGGCCUACCAAGGCGACGAUCCGUAGCAGGUCUGAGAGGAUGACCUGCCACACUGGGACUGAGACACGGCCCAGACUUCCUACGGGAGGCAGCAGUGGGGAAUAUUGGACAAUGGGCGAAAGCCUGAUCCAGCAAUGCCGCGUGUGUGAAGAAGGCCUCGGUUGUAAG